Molecule: long non-coding RNA, 535 nt
Organism: Homo sapiens (human)
Lineage: Eukaryota; Metazoa; Chordata; Mammalia; Primates; Hominidae
Gene: ACBD3-AS1
Product: ACBD3 antisense RNA 1
Source: Ensembl
AGAGUGAAUUCUGGCAACACACUGAGUGAUGCUUGUCAAUGGCCACUAUCAGGAAUUUAAAACAAGAUUUGGAAUUAUGACAUCUGGACAAACACAUAUGCAAAACCUACCUUUUGGUCCAUUCUCCAGGGCUUCUUCUGCAGCUUCUGGUUCCAGUUCUUUUUCGGAGCUGUCAGUGUGUGUUUUGGCCUGUCCAUUAACUGACAUCAUAUUACUUGGUACAGUUGCAUUCACUUUUGAUGAUGUAGGCAAGGAAGACCCAGCCACUACUACUUCCUGUUGUUUCUGUAAUGCUGCCUACAAACCAAGAGAAAGUGAAGACACACUGACCAGGAAGGCUAGCAAAUAAGACAUCUGCCCUGGAGUACAUCUGAUACCAUGCUUUUGCCCUACCAAAGUGCUAUGCUCAAGAAAUUACUAAUAAAUUUUUAUCAGUUUUUAUCCUGUCUAUAAUGAAUAUUAUUAGUACAAUAUCAAACUGACAGCUAAAAAUAAUAAAAAAUCAAUAAAAAUUAAUGUGGACAAAAACCUGCAA